This 484-nucleotide ribosomal RNA is filed under the name uncultured bacterium. Its description in RNAcentral is "partial 16S ribosomal RNA". It matches the Rfam family "Bacterial small subunit ribosomal RNA", at positions 28 to 507 of the family's 1533-position model. The record is from RNAcentral.
AUUGAACGCUGGCGGCAUGCUUUACACAUGCAAGUCGAACGGCAGCGCGGGCUUCGGCCUGGCGGCGAGUGGCGAACGGGUGAGUAAUGCAUCGGAACGUGCCCAGUAGUGGGGGAUAGCCCGGCGAAAGCCGGAUUAAUACCGCAUCCGACCUGAGGGUGAAAGCGGGGGACCGAAAGGCCUCGCGCUAUUGGAGCGGCCGAUGUCGGAUUAGCUAGUUGGUGGGGUAAAGGCUUACCAAGGCGACGAUCCGUAGCUGGUCUGAGAGGACGACCAGCCACACUGGGACUGAGACACGGCCCAGACGCCUACGGGAGGCAGCAGUGGGGAAUUUUGGACAAUGGGGGCAACCCUGAUCCAGCCAUGCCGCGUGCGGGAAGAAGGCCUUCGGGUUGUAAACCGCUUUUGUUCGGGAAGAAAUCCUCUGGGCUAAUACCCCGGGGGGAUGACGGUACCGGAAGAAUAAGCACCGGCUAACUACGUG